AUGCCCGGCCGCUCGCCGGCGCCCACCGGCCGCCGCCGGCGCCGCAGCCGAGGCUGGAGCACUCCAUCUAAGGCCUCCCGUCGCCCGCAGUCCCCGACCCCUUCCUCCGCGCCGCCCCUUGCCCAGCAGCCGCCCCUGCCCCCUGGCACCGAGGUCGAGGUCCGCGUCGACGACGACGGCUUCCACGGCUCCUGGUUCGAGGCCAAAGUCGACAGCUUCCUCCCUGCGCGCGGCCGCGGCUCCCGGGCCCGCUACACCGUCACCUACUCCCAUCUCCUCUCCGACGACUCGGGCGGCACCCUCGUCGAACCCUUCGCCCCCUCCCACAUCCGCCCCCACCCCCCUCCUCUCUCCAACCCGGAGCCGCUCUGCCUCCACGACAUCGUCGAGGCCUUCCACAACGACGGAUGGUGGUCCGGAAUCCUUCUCGCCACUGACCCCCUCACCGCCGCCUUCCCCAUCACCCGCGAGGUCAUAACCUUCCAGGAUCCCCACCACGUCCGCCCUCGCCGCGACUACGUCGACGGCCAGUGGCUCCCGUCCAAGGUCGCCAUUUCUGUCCAGCCCAAGCGGGCGGUUAGGGUUUACGCCGUUGGGGACAAGGUGGAGGUGGUCAGGGACCGGGACUUGUAUGGCUACUCGUGGUUCCCCGCCACCGUGGCCAAGGUCAUUGAUAGGCUGAGUUACCUCGUGGAGUACUCCGAUCUGGAGGAAGAGGUGGGUGGGGGGAAGGCCAUGGAGUACCUGCAUUGCCUCUUCAUCAGACCAGACGUGGAGCACUCUCCGCGGGAGAGUGAGUUCCGCCUUGGUCCUGGUGCCGCAGUGGAGGUGUACUGUGACGGCGCUUGGUCACCAGGGGUGGUGCAAAGGGCUGUUGGAGAGGGUGAGUACGAGGUUAGCAUCGAUGGAAAGGAGGGAGAGCUGUUGCUGAAGAAGGUGCCAGAGUUGCUCAAGCCUCAAUACAAGUGGAAUGGCAAGCAUUGGAGGAUUGUAAGUCCUAAGAGACAAGGUAAUAGGCGGCAGUCUGUAUCUGGAAAACGUCCAAGCUCAGCUGUUGAGGUGGCAUCCAAUGAUGAUGGAAAUAGCCAUCAUACACAAUCUCCAGCCACAAAAAGGUCAAGGAAAGAACUGCCACGAAAAAAACUUGAAGAGUUAACUGAAGGUUCUGAACAUGUGUUGGAGUCCGAGAUGGACACUAGUUUAUCUGCACUACGCAAGUCACUAGCAAGCAAUUUUUCUCCAAAAACCUGUUCUCCGCGAUCUAGAAAAAAUAACUUUCAAGCGAUUUCACGAAGGAUAGUGGAUUCUUGUACAGUGCCGAUGAAGGGGCUUGGGGUUUAUCAUGCUUCCUCAGAAAAUCCAACACCUCAGAAUGAAUCAAGAGCAGAUGGUAUUGUGGAAGUUGUUGUUCAAGAAGCCCCGCUCGACAUGAUGCUUUCAAAUGGUCAGCUUAAUUCACCUGUCUGUGGAACAAUUGCUGAUGAAGCCCAUGAUAUGCUUUUGACUGCAGGAUUAAGAAAACAGAAAAUGGAUUCCUCUUGCAUAAAUAAUGCUGUCCAGAAACCACAGGAAAGCCCGCUUGAUGUCCAGCCACUCCAGGUAAAGAAAUUUAGUGCCAAGCAUAAAGGUGGGGAAAAAGGCGGGGAAACACACCCUAUUCAAGCACUUGAGGGAAACAGUGACACUUUUGAUUACAUUCAGUUGAAAGGUAACAGCAAUAGCUCUUGUAAGGAAAUUAUUUGUGCUUUGACUGCUUCGACGUGCAAUGCCCCUUCACCCCUGGAUAAGCAGAUGAGAGCACGUGAUGCAGUGUCAAGAGGGGCUGAUAGUAGCUCAAACACAAAGGUUUUUGCCUCCAAGAAAUCAGCUGAAAAGAAAGGCUUCAAAGGUUUGUCUAACCCAGAUAGCUCAGGGCAUGGAACUAGGACUGUCCAGAAGAGAAGUGCAAAGAAAGUGGCAGGGCGACAGAAAGAAUGCUUCGUGGAAAGACAAGUGGACAGCAGAGGACCUCAUACUCAUCAGCAGCAGCAGCUCAACAGGGAGGAAAAAGUUAACGUAAAUGACGGAACAAAUCAGGAACUGUUUCCUUUAAUACCCCCAGGCUUCAAAUCAAUCUGUAACGGGCAAGGUUUACCACCCCCAGGCUUCAAAUCAAUCUGUAAUGGGCAAGGUUUACUCGAUGGGGAAAAAGUGGAUGAGAGACCAAUUCAACUACAUAUUCAGGAUGCUGGGGGCUCACAGUGCACCAUGGAAAACACUGCAUUAAGGAGCUGCUCAGCUGUUGGGACUUCUCUGCACCCACCUUUUCUUUCAUGUCAGAUCUCUGGUGAGCGUUUUCCGUUCAUCAAGACCUCAUCCAUAUGGCAUCAAAUUGAACCAAUGGAAGUGUUUCGGAAGGUACCACAGGAACCCCAUUUCCUUCCACUUCAGCAAUUUAUGCCGGAACUGCGUGAAGGAAUGGCUAUAGGUCUAAUGGUGACAUAUGCCAGCUUAGUUGAAAGUGUCAAGCGAUCAUGCAUAGAAGAUAAUAUUGAGUUAUUUGAAAGAAAGAUCAACGCACUUGCCCAUUUAGAGGAAAAUGGAUUUGAUGUUAAGUUGCUGCAGCACAGUCUGAUGAAAUUGCUUGAGGCCAAAUGGGAGCACACCAAGCAUCUUGGACAUCUGGACGAGUUGAAAGAAUUGGUACCGCGGAAGGAGUCUGCCAUGUCUCAUAAGCAUGCAUUACUUGUUGAAAAGGAAGGAGCUAUAUUUCAACUUGAGCAGAAACUUGAGUGCCUUCGUGGUGAAGCAGAGCAGAUUGCAAGGGAGACAAAAGAUGAAGAUGCAGAGCUCUUGAGGCUGAAAGAGGGAGUUAACAUAGCUCAGGAAGCAUGUGUUAAUGUUGAAGUGCGGUUUCACGACAUUCUAGCCGACAUGCGUUCGAGACUGCAGCUUUCUGAGUGA
This 2943-nucleotide ribosomal RNA is filed under the name Triticum aestivum (bread wheat). RNAcentral's name for it is "partial small subunit ribosomal RNA". The record is from RNAcentral. Lineage: Eukaryota; Viridiplantae; Streptophyta; Magnoliopsida; Poales; Poaceae.